This 676-nucleotide long non-coding RNA is filed under the name Pan troglodytes (chimpanzee). RNAcentral's name for it is "long non-coding RNA NONPTRT005377". Lineage: Eukaryota; Metazoa; Chordata; Mammalia; Primates; Hominidae. The record is from RNAcentral.
GGCAGCGAAGGGCGAGACUGGGCUCGCCAGGCGGAAGUGGUUGGAGACUGCGUGUUUUCCUAGAAAGUCCUCGACCUUCGUCGGGGAGAGGAGGGGAGUGAUAAAUUGGAAGGCGGACAAGCGACAAGUGCAGUACUGGAAAGACCCAAACAUACUUGGUUGUGACCUCAGGACUCAAUAAAAUAAACAGCUGGAAAUAAGCAGACUACUGUAAGAGUGAAUUGGAAAGAAAACCCAAGGUCACAUCUCCCAAGAAGCAGUAAUGUUCCAGCAAUAAGAAAAGGACAGUUUUUUGUCUUUUGCAUGGUGAGCCUUAUAUGAAUUACAUCAAUUUUGUCACCAAUAUCCAUCAUCAGAACAUUUUGAUUCUACAUAACACAUUGCAAAUGGUCACAACAAUCAAGACUAUAUCCAUAGAUGUCCCAGAAAUAAUACCUGACUAUACCGAGCAGCAUUACCAAGCCACCAAGAAGUCUGCCUAGUAAUGACAAUGAUAACAACAGCUAACACUUAUCAACAGAGCAGAGGAACAGAGCCACAGAUAACUGAAAACCACUUUGGCACUGAGGAGGUAUGCAGACAAGAUCUGGAAGGGAAUCUAGAAAAAUGGCAACUUUGGAAUCAUAGAUACCUUUUGUUUUCUUAUCGCUUUAAUUUUUGUCAUGAUAAAUAUUAA